This is a long non-coding RNA of Cyprinus carpio carpio, 1285 nucleotides long. Lineage: Eukaryota; Metazoa; Chordata; Actinopteri; Cypriniformes; Cyprinidae. The record is from Ensembl.
UUCUGACUUCAGAUUUCAGUAAAAAAAAAAAAUUAAAAAGAUAAAUUAUGAAAUAAUAUGACAUUAAUAUCUUCUAACUAAAUGUACAAUUUAUAGCUUGCCAUGAGAAAUUCAAGUUGUUGCUGUUUUUGUUUUCCAGCGUUUGGCAAUGCGGCAGUGAAUCAUGCUCUAACUUUAUUUGUUAAUCAUGGAGAGUCUGCCAAAAUAAGAUGCAACUACAGCCGAACAGAUGACACAGAAAUCAUGACAGUGGAUUUAAAAGCGUUAAAUCAGACACGCAUGUGUUCAUACAUACAUUUGAAUUCAUGGAAAAAACAAAGCUGCAAAGAUCACAUCAGAUUCAUAUGGAAUCCAGAGGCUAAGGAAAUAUCAUUUGAGCUAUUAAAUCUCCAUAUUAAGGAUACCGGCAAAUACACCUGUAUUGUGAGGAGGAAUGCAAAACCACCUGAAGUGGAUCUGGGAGUAGAAAGAGUUCAAAUUAUUGUUUUGCAGAGACGGAGAUGUCCUCAAAAGCUCAUACUCAAAAAAAUCAUUCAAUGGAUUCUUCAGUCAGCAAUCAUACCUUAUACUGCCACCACAGACCUUCAAUGAUACAGUCUACUCCUGCUGGGUAAAUCAUUCAUCCCUAAACAAACCACUAGUGGCCAGUUUAUCAAGCUCGGUCUGCUAUAAGAAAGGGGAUUUAACGGAGGCUCUGGCAGUGGCAUUUGUUAUCUCUGCGGUUUUGACAGUCGUUUUGAUGAUUUUUGUAGUCCUGUAGGCAAAUGUAACAUUAAGUCUCAGGUAUGAACUCUGUGUUUAUAUUAAGCAUCUUAUUUUUUAUUUCUAUUUAAAAUGUCAUUCUGAUUGUGUUACUGAAUACUGGAAUGCUUAUUACCAGAAUUUGUAUUGGUAAACCUUAAUGACCUUGUCUAUGGACAAAAAAUUGUCUAUGAACGUGAUUGUAUUCAAAUGUACAGAUGUUACAGAGCUCCAGACUGUGCCAAAAAUGGUCGCAUUUGCCACCAAAAAAUAUUAAUUUGCUAGUGAAAUUUUUGCUGACAUCGCCACUUCCGGCUAUAUAAACUUACAUGUUGUGACUUUAAAUUUGCGUGUAAUUCUUUUUUUUCCUGCUGGUUUUGCCUGUUGCUAUGUUGACGUUAUAAAGUGACGAUAAAAAACAUUGGCUCCAGUUGGCAGCUUGAGAUAAUCGCAAUAAGCUUUGUGCUGUGUUACCUUUAAAUAAACAAAGUAUCAGCUUUAAAAUUCUGCCAAAUCACGAAUUUGCGAUGAAUGGACACCAAAG